RNAcentral lists this ribosomal RNA (254 nucleotides) under uncultured bacterium. RNAcentral's name for it is "partial 16S ribosomal RNA". It matches the Rfam family "Bacterial small subunit ribosomal RNA", at positions 524 to 776 of the family's 1533-position model. The record is from RNAcentral.
UACGGGGGGGGGCAAGCGUUGUUCGGAAUUACUGGGCGUAAAGGGCUCGUAGGCGGCCAACUAAGUCAUACGUGAAAUCCCCCGGCUUAACCGGGGAACUGCGUCUGAUACUGGAUGGCUUGAGUUCGGGAGAGGAAAGCGGAAUUCCUGGUGUAGAGGUGAAAUUCGUAGAUAUCAGGAGGAACACCAGUGGCGAAGGCGGCUUUCUGGACGAUAACUGACGCUGAGACGCGAAAGCGUGGGGAGCAAACAGG